UCCGGUUUGGCACCGGCAGUCCUCCCAGAGUCCCCGCCAUGACGCGCUGGCAACUGGCAGCGAGGGUUGCGCUCGUUGCGGGACUUAACCCAACACCUCACGGCACGAGCUGACGACAGCCAUGCAGCACCUGUGCUGGCUCCCCGAAGGGUCCCUCACCUUUCGGUUCGGUACCACUAGCAUGUCAAGCCCUGGUAAGGUUCUUCGCGUUGCGUCGAAUUAAGCCACAUGCUCCGCCGCUUGUGCGGGCCCCCGUCAAUUCCUUUGAGUUUCAACCUUGCGGUCGUACUCCCCAGGCGGGGUACUUCCUGCGUUAGCGCCGGCACCCAGAGGGUCGCUCCCCCAGGCACCUAGUACCCAUCGUUUACGGCGUGGACUAC
This 380-nucleotide unclassified non-coding RNA is filed under the name uncultured bacterium. Its description in RNAcentral is "contains 16S-23S intergenic spacer region". The record is from RNAcentral.